RNAcentral lists this ribosomal RNA (1406 nucleotides) under Indolestes sp. BOLD:ACG0554. RNAcentral's name for it is "eukaryotic LSU rRNA". It matches the Rfam family "Eukaryotic large subunit ribosomal RNA", at positions 602 to 1722 of the family's 3401-position model. Lineage: Eukaryota; Metazoa; Arthropoda; Insecta; Odonata; Lestidae. The record is from RNAcentral.
AUGAAGCGAGAAGUCGACGCGCCGAUUUUCGGCGUCCGGCCCUCCGCAAGCGCCCGCGGGAGUUUGGGUUCCGGACCUGGUCCGAUCCCGUUCCCUCCGUGGGGCUGUUUGCGAAAAGGAGGUGUCCUCGGACGGCGUCGUUUGUCUCCAGUCCGCGACGCUACGGCUUGGAUGGCCUACCCGACCCGUCUUGAAACACGGACCAAGGAGUCUAACAUGCGCGCGAGUCGUUGGGUCGGACGCGCUCCGCUAAACCCAUAGGCGAAAUGAAAGUGAAGGCCCCUUUUGGGUGCCGAGGGAGGACGGAGCCGCUCCCCUCGCGGGACGGCUCCCGCACUCCCGGGGCGUCUGAUUCCUCAUUGCGAGGGAAGGCGCACCCAGAGCGCACACGUUGGGACCCGAAAGAUGGUGAACUAUGCCUGGCCAGGACGAAGUCAGGGGAAACCCUGAUGGAGGUCCGUAGCGAUUCUGACGUGCAAAUCGAUCGUCGGAGCUGGGGAUAGGGGCGAAAGACUAAUCGAACCAUCUAGUAGCUGGUUCCCUCCGAAGUUUCCCUCAGGAUAGCUUGCGCUCGGAGGAGAGUCUCAUCCGGUAAAGCGAAUGAUUAGAGGCCUUGGGGCCGAAACGGCUUCAACCUAUUCUCAAACUUUAAAUGGGUGAGAACUCCGGCUUGCUCGAUCACUUAAAUGAAGCCGGAGUCGGGGCCACGAGCCCUCAGGAUCGGAGUGCAUAGUGGGCCACUUUUGGUAAGCAGAACUGGCGCUGUGGGAUGAACCAAACGACGGGUUAAGGCGCCCGAAUCGACGCUCAUGGGAAACCAUGAAAGGUGUUGGUUGCUUAAGACAGCAGGACGGUGGCCAUGGAAGUCGGAAUCCGCUAAGGAGUGUGUAACAACUCACCUGCCGAAGCAACUAGCCCUGAAAAUGGAUGGCGCUGAAGCGUCGUGCCUAUACCCGGCCGUCGCCGCAGGGCGGGCCCCGUGAGGGGUGCCGCUUGACGCGGCGACGAGUAGGAGGGUCGCGGCGGCGUGCGCAGAAGGGUCUGGGCUCGAGCCUACCUGGAGCCGCCGCCGGUGCAGAUCUUGGUGGUAGUAGCAAAUACUCCAGCGAGGCCCUGGAGGACUGAUGUGGAGAAGGGUUUCGUGUGAACAGCCGUUGCACACGAGUCAGUCGAUCCUAAGCCCUAGGAGAAAUCCGAUACCAACGGCGAUGGGACGAAAGAACGAAAGAAAACAGCCCAUUGAUCGGGCGAAAGGGAAUCCGGUUCCUAUUCCGGAACCCGGCAGCGGAACCGCUGUUUGUCGGGCCCUCACAAGGGGUUCGUCAGGGUAACCUAAAAGGGCCCGGAGACGCCGUCGGGAGCCCCGGAAAGAGUUUUCUUUUCUGCAUGAGCGUUCGAGUUCCCUG